GUGCCUCGUUCACUUCCAUAGCUUCAUCACCAAUAUUUGUCCGGGAGAAAGCCUUUUUCAUAGAACAAAAAAACAAAACAACAACAAAACAAACAAAAUGGCUACACCAAGCACAACAACCAAGCCACGUUCUAAAUUCCUUACUGGCGCAACAUCCGGGUGUCCCUGUAAUACUUGCUGGACUUCCAUCGGGUCAGAUUUCCAUAACCCCUCGAAAAGCAUCUCACAAUAGCAAUCCCGGCCACGUUUACAAUAAUUGCGACAGUCGGGCAACCGCUUGCAACGGACAAUCAGGCAACAUUCUAAAUCCAAAUUCGAGGUGUCCACCAGACUCUCCAAAGACCUGCAAUCGUGAAUCCGCAAACACUUAAGAGAUUCCAAGCGUUCCAAACCUUCCAUGCUUCUUAGCUUCGGACAUUUUCCCACUCGAAGCUCCCUUAGCUUCCUCGAUUUCGAUAGGUCUGGCAUCCUUUCGAUCGACCUACAAUAUGCGACCGCAAGGGAUGAAAGGGAUCCCAAUUCUUCGAGGCCGCGAAUCUCGACUAGUAGCUCACAUUUUAACAGAUCUACCUCUUGCAGAUUCUUCAUAUGCGACGGCUCAAGUGCUUUUGUGGGCUGAUGCCGCUGUCGACGAAUCCUCCGACGGUUUCUGGACGGGAAUUUCCUGUUUCUCAGCCAACACUGUUCAAUCCGUCUUGAAAGCGUGGAAUCCUGCAGAUGGAGUUUCUCCAACUCCGAAUCACAUAUACCAACGAAUAUCCCCAUCCCAUAACGACAGAGACCCAGACUCCGCACUUCUCGAAAUACUGACUCUCUAAACUAGACGGAGCUGGAGGAGGAACCACAUGUUUGGGGAGGCCAAUAUUGUUUUUCCCUCUGAGAUUUGCUACGCUCGAGGGACUCGCAUAAAAAGUGACAUCCUCCGGCUUAUCAAAGGGGUAAAGUUGGGCCGUCUGCUAUACCACGCGUCCCAUCCGAAGUUCACGGAUAUUAGAGACGAGACUCGCCACGGUGGGUAAUCCAAAUAUUUGGGUCCCAUGACAAGUCUGGCAUUUUCAAACAGUACAGCUCAUUUAUAGUGGAACGAAAAAGAAUAAGCCACUAACUGAACAAACCAGAUCGCACUAGGUAAUUUUGUCAACCCUCCCUUAAUGUCCCUCAUCCUAAGUGUUGUCAGUUGCUUUAGAUUGCUGAAUGAAUCCGGUAGGUGAUCAAUAUACAUUCCUAACAAAUCCAACUCGAUUAAUGAUUGUAAUUUCCCAAUCGAGUUCGGAAGUUUCUUUAUCUGCCCACAACCACGUAAUCUCAAAAUCUCCAAAGACACCAACGUAGAUAAAUCGGGCAAUCUCCUUAAGUUAUUGCAAUAGAGGAGAUCUAAGACUUUUAGUUUCCUUGCCGCCUGCAAAACAAUAAUAUUUAUUGAGAAAUGACCUAUAAAAAAAAUAAAUAGAAAUGAUGUAUGGAUACAAGGAGUGAGGAGUGAGACUCGUAUCGUACUUUGAUCCAAUCAAUAUCUUUUUCCGAAAUGUUGCUCCUUGAAAGGUCAAGAACGACUAAAUUAGUUGGAUGAAAGUUUUUUGCCUCAAAUACAAAUGAGGAAUUGCAAGAAAGCCAUUUUAAAUCGGAAAGAAGAUUAUUGAAGUCUCCAACAAAGGACACGCGAUAUCCUCGAAAGAACCUCAGCUUCUCUAAAUAAGCAAAUUCGUCAUGCUUUAAAAUUAUGUCUUCCAAAGUGUCUUCGAGAAAUCCAAGUGACAGUGCUUUAAUUUUCCUACUCCCCUGACAAUGGAAACACAAAGGAGUCCACAUGGUGAAGCUCAAAGGCAAACAAUUCCAAUUGUUAAUAGCGAUUAAUUUUUCUUUUUACAAGAAUAAUUUACAACAUUUCACAAUAAAAUAAAUCGAUGUUCCCUUUUCAUACCUCUUUCUGCUUCAAAAUGCUUAGCACUUCCUUAGGAUCAUGCACUCUGCUACGCUCGCACGGAUCAUCAACAUUCUCUUUACGAACGAUUUCCCUUCCGAGGUCCCGCACUUGGUCAUGCAUCCAUAAAGUAUUGUCAUCCUUGAUUUUUAUCAAGGACAUGAGAACGAGGACUUCAAGGGCAUUGUGUGGGUAGUAUCCACAAGCAUCCCACAUGUAGGAAGGGUAUGUUUUUUUGCCAUUAGCAAAAAAACAAGCUAUAUCCAAAAAUACUUGCCUUUGGGCAUCAUCUAACCUUUCAUAAGUUAUCAUCAAUGUUUCUUGGACUUCCUUAGGAGGAGCUUCUUUUAGCUUGUUCAAUGUGUCUCCCCAUAUUUCUAUGGAUUUACCAUUAAGAAAUGAGCCUAUAAUCUCAAGGGCUAAAGGAAGAUUUCCCAAAGUAUGGAUAAUUUUUUCGGAAAGGGGGAUAUAAUGAUCUAGAGGAUAGUCUCUUCUAAAGGCAUGCCUGCUGAAAAGCUUAAGAGCAUGAUCACAUUCCAUUUCCAAUACUUCAUGAGCCAAAAUAUUUGUAGGGGCUUCACAUGUUGCUUCUACUUGAAUGCUCAGGACACUUUGGUACCUAGUAGUUAUGAUAAUCCUACUACCGGAACCGAACCAAUCAACUUUCUUUGCUAGACUUUUGAGUUGCUUUUCCUCGUCCAUAUCGUCAAGAACAAUGAGAACUUUUUUAUUGCGAAAUACUUUCUCAAUCAUUAUGGCCCCAUGAUCCGUGUCAUGAAUUUGGUUGAGGAUGGAAAGAGAAUCAAGGAACUCGGAUAGCAACUGAAUUUGCAAACCUACCAUACCAAGGCGUCGUGACGUCUCUCGGAUAUCCGAAAGGAAAUGGCAGUAUUCGAAGUGAGAAGACAGUUGGUUGAAGAUGACCUUGGCAAGUGUUGUUUUGCCAAUCCCGCCCAUUCCAUGGAUUCCAAGAAAUUGAACGCUAUCCGAUCCCACAUCCAACUUUUUUAUUAUAGCUUCUACACAAUCAUCAACUCCAACUAGAUUUUCAGUCACAAUCUUUUUAUUUCCGACAUUCAGCUUACGCAACACAGUUUCAGUCACAAGUUUUACCAGAUCCACUUGGCUGCAACAAGGUAACAACCAUGUUAGGAUAUAUUUUAUAUUGCAAAACUGCUCCCUCAAGGACUCAAUUGCUCCUACAAUUUGCAAAAAUUAUGCAACAUAAUCUAGACGGCAAAAUAAUCUGGAUUUUUUCCAAUCCGUCUCUGCUCCCCCAAUUUUAGUCACCAUCACUGUCGACCGCUGCCACCACCACACCGCCAUUGACGUCUCUCACCUCCUCAGCUCGUCACCAUUGUGUUCCAACGGGGUUGCCCAUCGCGCCCCAUCGACCCGCCCAUCUCGGCCUUGCCUCAAUCCUUCAAGUCACAUGGAUCUUGUGGCCUUGCAACCGCCAAGGAUGCUUUACCGGCCUUUGGCGGCGCCAAAUUUGAGGUCGCCCAAGGUCGGCAAUGCCAAAUAUGGUCUCGGUGACAUCGGGCCCGACAUCCCGAGCCCAUAUCUGACUUCCCAUUGAAUGAGAGAAAGAAAGGGUGGGGGGCCGGAUGGCUCGAUGGCGGCUUGUUGUCGGGCUGGCAAGGAAGAAGUGACGGUUGAGGGAGAGCUGCUGCGGUGGCUGGCCAGCGGCUUGGUGGAGCAGCUAGGUUCACGAAAGAGCAUAGCUUUUCACCUUUUAAGUAAACGUUUUUUUUUUUUAAAGUUUCAUUCUUCUAUUGCUUAAAAAUUAACUGGCCCCUUAGACUUGCGCUACGAAUGGCUAUACGGUCGUAUACUUCUAUAUUUUUCUUAAAUGCUUAUGAAAUCCAGGAUAAAAAAAAAUUGCAAAUGCCAUAUAAAUGAUGCUGAAAGAAAGCAGAGGUAAUACACAAAAUCAUCUUAAAUUUCAGGUAGUACACAUUUACUGCCGAAACUUCAACUGUUUCGCAAUAUUUCCUGCACUUUCAUUUUGUUACGCAACCAUUAACUGGGUAUCAAUUUUGUCAUCAGCAUGUGCAAGGCACAUGAUUCUUACAUUAUAUAUAUUUCUAUCUCAAUUUUUGAAAAAAAAAUUCUCUUUUAUACUUAAUUAUCAUGAAAGAGAAAAGAAAUUUUGAAAUUGGGAGAAAAAUGAAAGGAAUGAAAUACUAAAGUUAAAUAAACUGAUUUUUCACCAGCAAUACUGCAAUUAAACUGAAUAUGGAGGAAAAGGAAAUCUACAUAUGAUAGUUUGAAAAAUUGUAAAUAUUUACCUUUCAUCUUUCUUCCAGUUCCAUCCAAUUAUCUUGCCCACCUCAACGAGAGCCUUUUCCCAUGACUCUACUUCACUGCACGUCUUCCGACGCUUUGAAAGAGUUUGUUGAUACAAUUUUGUUUUCAACUUGACAUCAGAAGGUUCCACAUCCAAGAAAAUAGGCAGAAUCUCUUUGUUCCCAUUUGAUUUUGAGGUGCACUCGACCAUGUGUGCAAGUUCUCGGAGGCACCACUCACUCGAAGCAUAAUUUGUGGAGAAUAUGGGAAUGUAGAUCUGGGAGUUCUCAAUUGCAUGUAAAAGCUUACCAGUUUUUUCACCGACAUGGAGGGAUUCACUAUCCCUAAAGACAAGGAUUCCGGCACCAACCAUUCCAUGGUAAAGAAAAUCGGUGAAUCCAUUACGAGUGUCUGCUCCUCGAAAACUUAAAAAAACCUCAUAUGAAGAUCUGGAUGAUGCCCGUGAAUUCGUGCCUUUCUCCAUGGAAGGAUCUCUAAACACCACGGAUAUCAAAUGCUUUCUUUCUCUCAGUGAAGUUUGCUUUGAGUGUGCUUGGAUCUGAGCGAGGGCUAUCAGUAUUAUAAGCUCUCUCGGUCUCUAGCUUGGAGAAAAGGUACUGGACUCCGAAUAUCCCUUGAGUCAAUAUAGUCAACAACUUAAGUCAUCCAAGAAGUUUCCAUGAAAUUUCCUAAAAGUUUCCAUGAAUCAAUCAGUGAGCUGGCAUCCUAGAAAUUUCCGGGUCCCAUUCAUUUAAUGACAAAUUUAAAUUCUGAAGCCUAACGACAAACGAAAGUGACUGCACCAAUUCAUAGAUUCAUGGCUUUAGAGACGAAAGAUAUAAAUUUAAACCAAGAUAUGGCAUGAAGAUGGUCUUUGAGUUUUUCUAUACUUUAAUCAUAUUAAAGAAACUUUCAAAAGUACUCCCAUCUAUAUUAUAUAUGCUUCUCACCUUUUGAUAUAUGUUGAAUGUUCAUCUUUAGAGACAAAUCCUCAACUAAAAUAUCAAACUACCCCUUUUACUAUGGAAAUGUAUUUUAUGUGCUAGUCAUAUGUGGAGUAAUCAGUUCAACAGCAAUAUGCAUGUCCAUUUAAUUGGCGCUUGAAUGUUGAAAAUACUCAAUAUUGAUCGGUUUAUCAUACCACAUUUUACUAUCAUGUGAUGCAACCUUGAAAUUUUUUUCUCUUUGUGACCAUAACAUCUCUCUCUCUCUCUCUCUCUCUCUCUCGGUGAACCUAAGUUGAAAAACUCACUAAUCUCAAUCUUCAAGACAUAAGUGAUCUGAAACAAUUAUGGUUCAAUCCGUGUAUUAUAUAGAGGCGUGGAACCCUUUUAUGAUCACAUAUAGAGAAGGUCUCUAGAGCUGGUCACUCUUACCCGCCCCUUUACUCAAAAUAGGGGAAAAUUGUGUACUUUUAUUAUGGGAAAAAUUCCUUCAACAAAAGUUUUACUUUUUUUUUUACAAAAUUUUUACUUUAGAUGAUGGCAAAUGUGGGAAAUAAUUUUUCAUACUUUGUUCCUAACUUUAACAAAAGUUGGUCAACUUCAAAAUAGUGCUAAACAUGAUUUCGUUUUUGGCUUUUUUUCAUGGUACAAGGUGCGCCGUGCUUUGAAAUGAAAUGAAUGAGAAAUUUAACUAAUGAAGAGUAAAAUUCUUGGAAAUUAAUGUGCAAAGGAAAAGUGUAAUGGGAAAUUGCAUUAUUUGCGCUCUGUCACUUCCUCACGCAUGUGUUUUCAUUUUUUCUUUGCACCCCCUCCACAAUAACCUGCCUCCCCUGUUUCUCUCUCUCUCUCUCUCUCUCUCUCUCUUUUUCCUGAGAACUACACUAUUUUUCUCCUCUUUCUAUUAAAGUUUUCUCUCCUGCGGGUACCCAUUUCCCUCUCUCUAUAUAUCUCUUUCUUGGGCGCGAAGAAAAGCUCCAUCCUUUACUUUUUGAAGCUCUCUUUGACAAUGAUUAUAUUUGCUUCCCCUUUCUUCUAGAAUAUCAUAUCUUCAUAAGAUGGAAGGUCUUGUUCGGCUGCACAUUUCGAAAUCGGAAAGGAGAAAUCAAAAGGAGGAAAGGGGCGUGCAGUUUCCAUCUUGACAAAGGAGCAAUCUCGGUAUUCAGGUACCAGAACUCACGGCCAAAAGAAACAACAAAACCUGGGCAUCAAAAAACAGAGGGGUCUCGGACAAGUGGGGAGAGAGAUUUUUCUGAACAAAAGUCGGUCAACUUCAAAAUAGUGCUAAACAUGAUUUUGCUUUUGGCUUUUUCUACGUGUAGGUGUGCUAGGGCUUCAAAAUGAAUGAUGGANNNNNNNNNNNNNNNNNNNNNNNNNNNNNNNNNNNNNNNNNNNNNNNNNNNNNNNNNNNNNNNNNNNNNNNNNNNNNNNNNNNNNNNNNNNNNNNNNNNNUCACUCGUGCCCCAACAACUCUUGUUUGUUUAUAGUCAUUUUUUUCUUUUAUUCUUCACGAGAUCUCCUUCUUCUGUUUUUUUUUUCUCUUCUUUGCCGACCCCUUUUGUCUGUUUUCCCUUGUAGUCUUCUCUCUUUUGUUGACCGAAACCCUCUCUCUCUCUUUGUUUCUCUUUGUUGGCGGCGAAGAAAAAGCUCCAUCCUUUUCCUUUCCCUUUUUUUUUUUCGAGCUCCCUCCGGCAAUGAUUAAAUGCUGAAAAAUCGCUUCCCCACUUGGCCGAGAAUCCCCUGCUUUUCUAUGCAAGGAUUUUCUUGUAUUCGUUUGGCAAAGAAUCCCCUGCUUUUGCUUCCUUUGUCAAGAUGGAAACUCCACGCCUCUUUCCUCCUUUGAUUGUCCCUUGCCUUUUCUACCAAUUUCGACAUGUGCAGCUGAACAAGACCUUCCAUCUAUGUGUUCGGACUAGACCGGCUUCGAAAAUGGGUGUUGGCCGAUUUGAAUUUCCCUUGUUGUCCUUGAAUGACCGCGCUGCCUUUCCAUUCAUUAGGCCGAGUUUGAUUAGCUUAGGGCCGGGCUCGUGCAGGCUCAAUUUUGGAACCUCAAGGGAGUUCAGGACUCAUUUUUUUUUUCCAUAUUAGACUAUCCAUCGAGCCAAUCCCAAAGAAAUUCUGAUCCAUGCUUUAUUCAACACAAAUACUUUAUGCCCAAAAUUUAAAUGUCCCUAAUAUUUAAAUGUGAAGAAAUGCAGUUGAGAAUUGCAAGAUCAAUAUUUUUUUUUUUUGGGGGCCAAACUCCAUCGAACUUGAUCUCAAAUUUUCUUAAAUGAAUGAGAAGACCUCGAGCGAAAACUUGUGUGUCAAAUGGCACAAACUAAUUCAAUAGUACCAUAGCCUAUCUAACACUCACAAUAGAUGUAAUAUGUCCAUGACAUAAAAUCUUACAACUUCUCACCACUAAGUUAACAAUCGUAAGUUCACGUGAAUAGCAAAGUCUAAAGAAAUUACUAUGAACAUUGAGAGUUACUAACAAGAGAUAGACAGAAAAUUACUUUUUAUUAUUUCAUCAUAAUUUAUCACAUGGAAAAAUUACUAGUUGCUGAUAGGUAGAUACCGUUUCGGUGUAAAAGGAGUUACUAGUCAUACUAAUUUUGUAUAAUUACUUUAUUGAUUUUCUAUACCAAAAAUUAAGAUGGAUGAAAGCAUGACCUGACGUGUGCUUAGGUCUCGGAAACAAGGCCAAUAGUUUCAUUCAAGAAUCCAUAUCCCCUUUGGAAUCAAAUCGUCAACAAGUUUCACGUUAGAGCACUGAGAAUGGUAUUUUGAUUUGCCAUGACUUGCAGCGUUGCUUAACAGUUCUGGGAAAACCUCCAUCACCAUAAGAAAAAUAUGCAAUAAAGGAUCAACCUGCCUUAGUCCUUUCUCACCCUUGAAGAAGCCCUCAAGACCUCCCUCCAAUGUCAGAAGAUACAGAGGAAGGCUCUGUAGCUUAGCCUAGACAACAGUUUUCACAUCAGAGACCUCCUAACUUUGCAUUCAGGCUUCCGUUUUCUCAGCACAAGAAGAUAGUGCGCAAUGUUCUGGAAGAGGAAAAGUUCAUAAGGAACAUCCCGUUCUCAAUCUCCUCGUCCCCACAGCAUAUUCACCGUAGCGGAAAUAAAUCCAAUACUCUUUCUUGCCAAGACCUUGCCCUACAAGAGAAGAAUUCCAUUUUUCACCGCUGUUACCUAUGACAGAUUUAGGAACUAAAACAGGCUUAACACCAUCGACAACUUUAGGUACGUGGUACAUGUGUGCAACGUCCUAGAUUGCUGGUACACUCUUUUCUUCACAAGUUCGUAUUCGGAUCUUACUUUCUGCCCAAGGAUACUUUUUUGGUUCUCCCUAUUUCUUCCGUUAGAACUCACUACCACAAUCAAAUAAGCACUUUUCAUUGAUCAAAUGGGAAACUUUGCAAGUCUUGCAUAUUUUCAAUGAUAAAAGAUGAAUUGUUUCCAUUUCAAUUUUUCGCAGAUGAAAGCAAAACUGCACAAUUUAGAAAGAGAAAAAUUCAUCUCUUUUCUAGCCCAGAAAUAUUCUCUGGAAUAGUCUCGAAGCGGUCUUAGAUCCAAGCCUACAGGAACUCAGUGGAAUGUUACGUGGAAAACAAGGUCCCACAUUGGCGAUAGAAGAACCUUGACUAUAUACCGUCAAGAUUGUGGGCUUUGUGACUAAUGGUUACCUUAUAAUAUUUCAGAUCAAUAAGAGCAAAGCUGACAGGAGAAACUUUGGAUCUCGCAAACUAAGUAAUAUACUCACAAAUNNNNNNNNNNNNNNNNNNNNNNNNNNNNNNNNNNNNNNNNNNNNNNNNNNNNNNNNNNNNNNNNNNNNNNNNNNNNNNNNNNNNNNNNNNNNNNNNNNNNNNGAAGAGAGCAAAAGCUUACAAUUCUGAGGAAGAACCCCUGUAUUGAGGUACUUCCUAAGAUCAGCUUGCGUGACCCAUAGAGUGAACACACGUCCAAUUGGCAGCCCCAUCUUCAUGGUGCACAACUUCAUUCAAAUAUGAAAGGACAAUCAACAAAAAACAAUAGAGAAAAUCGCAGUGAUCAUGCAUAAUACUAAGUCGAUGAUGCAUCCUGGGUAGCUUACCCCUAGAACUAGACAUUCUCAUACUCCCAAGACAAUCUCCUCGCUUUAAGUAUCAUGAAUUUCCUUCUUUUUUGUACUUCGCAUGUGAUGACUGGCUUGUGUGGGCGAGAGCUUCGUGCUCCUGAAGCACCCAAAAUUCGUUUGGGGGAUGGGACUCUCCAUUUAUACAGCUGGAUAACUUGCACAACUGAACAUUGCUCUUCUCUUUGCAGCCACAACGUGCUGAACCAAUCCCUACUUCACCACAUCACGGAUCUUGCACCUUGCCACCUUGGGCCUUGCAAUCCUAGAAUUAUGGACUCCAUAACCCAUGCGAGAUGGACAGAUCCCAAAAUCUGCCCCGCUGCUCAACUCAAUGAUGAAAGUAUGCUCCGGUGUCCACAUUAAAUUGCCAGGGAUUGGAGAUGGCACUUGGAAAAGCUCCUCAGGAGACAAAUGGAUGUUCGGCACAAACAGAUCUUGUGUGUAACCAGGAAGAUGACUGCUUUCGCCAGCACUCAAACUGGACAAAAAGUCCUCCCUUGCCAAGCUGUUGAAUUACAGUCGGAUCAAAGAUUUUUGCAGUGAUAUGACUGUGGCCCCAGACAACUAAUUGUCUGAUCUCUGUGACAUUGUAGCAGCACGAUGCUGAAACCAGUGAGAAACUAAAUUCAGGAGUCAUUUCUGGUCUAUCUGAAUAAUGAUGCAUUUCAGUUUCAGCUACCAUAGAUGUGCAAAAAGGUGGAUGUGCCAAUAAAGAAAUGGGAACACUAAACUGUGAAAGAUUAAGAAGGCCAAAAAGGAAAAGAUAGAUGGAAGUGAUGUAAUACCACAAUAGCUUGGUUUAGCUCUGUGUAAAACAGAUGAUGAAGAGGCAGGCUCAGGCCGAUUGAUGGCUCUGUAGGCAAAUUGGUUGGGGCUCUCAGAAGAGAGACGCUGGGCAGGGUAUUGAGCACCGCCAUUGAUUCUUGUUAUUGUAAUCUAGCCAUUUCAAGUUCUGCAACAAAAUCUGUCAACCGAGCAGCGGGUCCAAUCAAGUCCAAAAUCAAACGGGUACUUUUUUAAGAGAAGUGCUUGUGGUAUAUAUUCUGCCAUGGAAGCAGACUAAUCCGAUAGAAACAGGCCCUUUCUAUAGGUCCAGAUAGAUUCACACUCAGCUACUAGAUAGAGAUGUUUCGGGUUAUGAUUUAUGUACCUUCUGAGAGUGGGCCAAUAUGUCUAUCAACUGGUAAAUUUGGCCAUCGAGUGCUGCUUGAGAAACUUUCAUGACCGAAUUGAACACUAUACUGGCCUUGUUCAAAGCUUGGUAGAAAUACAUCUUGUCAUCGUUGAUCACACAGGGGCUGGCAUGUCUGACGAUUGUCUCCCAUGUCCGCUUGGUGAUCCCAUUUCCAAGUACCUGAAAUAACAUCGCACACAAAAGAAGUAGCACGAUUUAAUAUUGAACAAUGCUCAGAAUAACGUGAACUGGAAAAAAGAGAAAUUAGCAGUGCUCAAAGAGUAAGAGUCACUUUGUUUCUUAGAAAGGCACAUCCGCUUCGUACAGCUGGAGGAAAUCUUGAACAGUGUCGAUUCCUCUCGAAGUCAUGCACUUGUGCAGAGCACUGUCUUUGGCUAUUUUUUGCAAACACCAUACUUCGUCGCUCAGUGAUUGUGGAUAGUGCUUCUUGUUCACUGCACAUAACAAAGAAAACUUGUCAGUCAGUCAGUCUUUCUAUGGUCCACAUACAGAGUUGAUGGUUGGAAUUAAAUUGUUAUCCUAAAAUGAUAGGCAUUGCAAACUUACACUCUCCUCGAUGAUAGUUAACGAUGAAAGUUUCACUUCUCACUUCACUUGAUUCUUAUUUCUGCAGAAACCUUUUGAACAGCUCGAGCUCAUUUCCCGACUUCUUAUCCAGCUCGAGAUGUCAGUGAUGAUUAAAUUACGGAGGCAACCAAUUCCCCCUUGCAAGAUCACAGUCAGCUCCCCGGUUAUCAAUGGCCUUCUCCAUUCCUUUUCGCAAACGAUAUUGUAAUUGAAUUCCUUUUCGGUCCAAUCCUCUCCCUGGUCUGACCCGAAAUCGCCAUCAAGGAUGACAAUUUUGAGCUUUGUGGAAGAUAGAGGGCCACUCAUAACCCUCUCAUUGGUCCUGCCAUCUACUAGUUCGAUCCUCAAAGGAGUACCAUCCUCGGUGCUUAUCUGACCGCUAGUGAAGAUGGUUGCCGGUAAUUUGGUAACAAAAUGCAGUUGCAAACUGCUUGUGCUUCCCUUAUUCUUUUUUCUGCAACAGCGUUGAUUCCUCUCAAUGUCAUGCGCUUGCGUAGAGUGCCGUCUUUGGCUAUUUUAUCGAAACGCCAUUCUUCAUCGCUAAAAAAUGGUGGGUGGUGCUUCUUGUUCACUGCACAUAACAGAGGAAACUUGUCAAUCUUUAAGUCUUUUUAAGGUCCACAAAUAUUAUCAAUGACAAAUCCACUUCUUCAUGCCACUUCUUUGGAAACUUGAAACAAGACAUGGAGUAAGUUUGUACAGCAUAAGCCAUUGUUUUUACCUAAUGUCCCUACCAGCUUGUGACAACAACUUAGAUUUUCAGCUAGGCAUCCUUGUCAAGACUCUAUCCUUAAAAAAGCCAAGAGCUUCAUGUUUGGAUCUACCCCCAUAGAAUAGGCAGACCCAUAUAGUUACCAGGGUUCUGAAUACCAUUCAUUCCCUGGGCUAUGCGCACCUCUGUUCUGAACUCUGCACCCAUGUUAGGACUGAAUCAUAUACUGGAUUUUUGCAAGAUAAUCCUAGGGACCGAGCAGUGCAAUACAGUCAAGAAUUUUUUCGAACAUCUGCAGUUCAAUCAGGGUUAGUAACAAGAAAGAAUAGGGAGUCAUAAGUAAAGAGAAUGUGGGCUCAGGGCACUCCUUUUUAAGCUUAAUUCCUAAAAGCCAACCCUCCUACAGCAUAUGGGAUAAAACAUAAAGCCACAAUUGUGAAUAAAAAGUGUUAGUAUAUGUGCUUGACCGUCUGCGACUCGACCAGCACAGCCUCGCUGACCUCGAACAACACAACGCCCCCCCCCCCCCCCCCCCCCCCCCCCCCCCCCCACCUCCUCUCUCUCUCUCUCUCUCUCUCUCUAAUGUAAGAAUCCGAGAGAAACUCCGACCAUCCACUCUCUCUCUUUCUAUCUCUCUAGCCCUUCCUCAUCUCUCGCUACGAGACUUUCACAUUCCGUGUUCAGUUUCUCCGUUUCGAACAAAACAAGAGAGGGAAAAACAGGGUUUGACCACACUCGUUUGAGUUGAAACUCAUAUAUAACAAAGACAAAAGGAGGAAUAAAAUGAAAAUCAUGGACAUCAAUCAAUGAACUGAGUACUAUGUUCAAAAGCUGAUCAAAAUUGGACAAUGUUUUGGCAUCAUAUGAGCGUGCCUUGUUCACUUCCUUAGCUUCAUCAUCAAUAUUUGUCCGGGAGAAAGCCUUUUUCAUAGAACAAAAAAACAGAACAACAAAACAAACAAAAUGGCUAAACCAAGCACCACAACCAAGUCAUGUUCUAAAUUCCUUACUGGCGCAACAUCCGGGUGUCCCUGUAAUACUUGCUGGACUUCCAUCGGGUCAGAUUUCCAUAACCCUCGAAAAGCAUCUCACAAUAGCAACCCCGGCCACGUUUAUAAUAAUUGCGACGGUGGGGCAACCGCUUGCAACGGACAAUCAGGCAACAUUCUAAAUCCAAAUUCGAGGUGUCCACCAAACUCUCCAACGACCUGCAAUCGUGAAUCCGCAAACACUUUAGAGAUUCCAAGCUGUCCAAACCUUCCAUGCUUCUUAG
Molecule: long non-coding RNA, 12996 nt
Filed under: Eucalyptus grandis
Lineage: Eukaryota; Viridiplantae; Streptophyta; Magnoliopsida; Myrtales; Myrtaceae
Description: long non-coding RNA (EGRA_LNC006709)
Source: RNAcentral